UACGAAGGGGGCUAGCGUUGCUCGGAAUCACUGGGCGUAAAGCGCACGUAGGCGGCUUUUUAAGUCAGGGGUGAAAUCCUGGAGCUCAACUCCAGAACUGCCUUUGAUACUGAGAAGCUCGAGUCCGGGAGAGGUGAGUGGAACUGCGAGUGUAGAGGUGAAAUUCGUAGAUAUUCGCAAGAACACCAGUGGCGAAGGCGGGUCUCUGGGCCGAUAUUGACGCUGAGGAGCGAAAGCGUGGGGAGCGAACAGG
This 253-nucleotide ribosomal RNA is filed under the name uncultured bacterium. RNAcentral's name for it is "partial 16S ribosomal RNA". It matches the Rfam family "Bacterial small subunit ribosomal RNA", at positions 524 to 776 of the family's 1533-position model. The record is from RNAcentral.